This is a long non-coding RNA of Aethalodelphis obliquidens (Pacific white-sided dolphin), 1065 nucleotides long. RefSeq lists it as uncharacterized. NCBI's taxonomy places the organism in Eukaryota, Metazoa, Chordata, Mammalia, Artiodactyla, Delphinidae. The record is from RefSeq and is a predicted model, not a curated record. The transcript is spliced from 4 exons.
AGCAUCAUGCCCGAUCCUUAUUUCUUAAAACAGUAAGAAGGAACCCUGACAACCAGACUCUGGAACACAGCCCAGGUCCCAACAGUGCUUGCUGCAACAGGUUCCCAUGAUUUGCGACACGUGCUCGGGAUGGAUGACGGCGGGGUUUGCAAGCACUGCUGUAAAGGAUGCUGAAGUGAGGAGCGCAUGGGCAGAGUGAGCAGAAGAAACAUGCGAACCGACAAGUUGGGGCCAGACAGAGGUGAGGAAGACACAGCUAGGAAACCACAGCAGCACCGGUAGCGGCGGCGGCGGCGGCGGCGGCAGACUAACCUGUUGGAGGCUAUUUAUUGUUAAGAGGGUUUGGCAGAACUUGCAGGGCUAGAGGAGGGAUUUCAGAGGUGGAACCAGGAACACUGGAGGUCACAGUGACCUGCUCGGUGAAGACAGUCUGAGGCUGUUUCUGCACAGCCCAGCAACCGAGAAGUCAGCCCUGCUCAACAACUUUGAAACACUCACCCAGCCGACCUGAUGUGUUUGGGUGCUCACUGCCGGUGAGUAGAUAUAAGGACCCCCAGAGGAAUCUCUGAGAUUGCUUCGGUGCAUUUGUAACCCAGCAGCUAUGAGGAACCCAUAGAGCCUUCUGAGACAGCGUUGUGCAGAUUCUUCGCUCAUGAACAAUUUAUUUCAUAGGACACCCGUUUUGGAGAAGCUAAUGACUCAGAGCACUCCCAAGAAAAAGAAAAUGGAAAGAAGCCAAAAGGUGAGAAAAGACUGUGAAAAUGAAAGGCCUUUAAAUGGACAAGGUAACAUGGAAAUUAGAGUAGACAUCUCAGGCCUGUCACUCAACUAUUACUAGUAUAAGCAUGUAAUUUAUUGUCUGAAUGAGGACACUUUUGGAACUGAAAGGAGGAACUAUCAAUAAUUACUCCAGGAAAAUAGGUCAAACUGGGUCUCUCUUGGAUGAAUCAAAAUGUAGGGCUGACUUGUCACCCAAGUUGUGUUGGUUCGACCUCCUAAUACUUUCUAACUAUCCACAAUAUAUCCAAAAUAUAUCCCAGGACUUCCCCAGUGGUCCAGUGGUUA